RNAcentral lists this ribosomal RNA (467 nucleotides) under uncultured bacterium. RNAcentral describes it as "partial 16S ribosomal RNA". It matches the Rfam family "Bacterial small subunit ribosomal RNA", at positions 29 to 507 of the family's 1533-position model. The record is from RNAcentral.
ACGCACGCUGGCGGCGUGCUUAACACCUGCCAGUCGAACGGAAAGGCCCUGCUUUUGUGGGGUGCUCGAGUGGCGAACGGGUGAGUAACACGUGAGUAACCUGCCCUUGACUUUGGGAUAACUUCAGGAAACUGGGGCUAAUACCGGAUAGGAGCUCCUGCUGCAUGGUGGGGGUUGGAAAGUUUCGGCGGUUGGGGAUGGACUCGCGGCUUAUCAGCUUGUUGGUGGGGUAGUGGCUUACCAAGGCUUUGACGGGUAGCCGGCCUGAGAGGGUGACCGGCCACAUUGGGACUGAGAUACGGCCCAGACUCCUACGGGAGGCAGCAGUGGGGAAUAUUGCACAAUGGGCGGAAGCCUGAUGCAGCAACGCCGCGUGCGGGAUGACGGCCUUCGGGUUGUAAACCGCUUUCGCCUGAGACGAAGCGUGAGUGACGGUAAUGGGUAAAGAAGCACCGGCUAACUACGUG